AUUGAACGCUGGCGGCAGGCUUAACACAUGCAAGUCGAGCGGGGUGAUGGUGCUUGCACUAUCACUUAGCGGCGGACGGGUGAGUAAUGCUUAGGAAUCUGCCUAUUAGUGGGGGACAACAUCUCGAAAGGGAUGCUAAUACCGCAUACGUCCUACGGGAGAAAGCAGGGGAUCACUUGUGACCUUGCGCUAAUAGAUGAGCCUAAGUCGGAUUAGCUAGUUGGUGGGGUAAAGGCCUACCAAGGCGACGAUCUGUAGCGGGUCGGAGAGGAUGAUCCGCCACACUGGGACUGAGACACGGCCCAGACUCCUACGGGAGGCAGCAGUGGGGAAUAUUGGACAAUGGGGGUAACCCUGAUCCAGCCAUGCCGCGUGGGUGAAGAAGGCCUUAUGGUUGUAAAGCACUUUAAGCGAGGAGGAGGCUCUUUUGGUUAAUACCCAAGAUGAGUGGACGUUACUCGCAGAAUAAGCACCGGCCAACUCUGUGCCAGCCGCCGCGGUAA
Molecule: ribosomal RNA, 503 nt
Filed under: uncultured bacterium
Lineage: Bacteria
Description: partial 16S ribosomal RNA
Rfam family: Bacterial small subunit ribosomal RNA
Source: RNAcentral